ACCUGUCUUCACGGGAGGGGAUAAUUGAGCAGGACCAAACGUGAGCAUCUUUUGGUAAACGUGAUACGUUUUUUAAAAUGUAUUUGAUCUCCCAGGCUGUUUGAUCCGAGUGAAAUGAACUGUGACUGUCGGACUAUGACUACCACGUAUAAGCAGCCGAAGAAACAAGAAUAUUAUCCGGAAUAAGAAAAGUUGGAACACUCUCAUAUUCAACCCACACGACCACAACUGAAAGGGGGAAAAGGGACCGAAAUGAUAGCGUUGCAAGUUUGACUGACUCUCACACAUACCAGGGAUGAAAGUAUAAGGGUUGCAGAGUGUUAAGGAAGUGAGCAUCAGCGGUUUGGGUUGUUAAUGUUUUAUAUUUGUAAACGUUUAUUUAUUUGCCUCUAUGGACGUCCGUUUAUGUUGUACUAUCGUAAUAACCACUAUGAGUGGAGCAUGUAUAACGGCGCAUGCCCCAUGCACCUACAAGAGCGAAAGAGAUGUGUAUAUUGAGGUGCUUCUCGCAAGUGCCAGGUGCAGUCAGUUAUCAACUGUAUGGAUAAUUAAAUCAUCAAUCAAGAGGCUCGACUGUUUGAUGCCUUUGUCCAAAGCCAAUCAGAUUCCAGAGAACUCGGAAGCACAGCUCGAGAGGAAAAGUCAGGUGAUAGUGCGUUACAGACUUGAAGAAGGGGAUCCCGCUUUACUGCAGCUGGCCGGUGGUGGCUUGUCCGCUCUAGGAGUCUGAGGUGCGGGACGUUCCUGCGCCCCCUUUGGACAUCGAGGGGGUCCCGGCGUAUGCCGUUCACUCCAUACUGGAUUCAAGGCUUCGGGCGAGGGGCCUGGGUUCCAGUGGAGAUGCUGGGUUCCGGUGGAGGACGCCCUUGUUCCGGCGACAUUCUGCGGUCGACGUCACCGGUCUUCUAGCCUUCGCCGAUCCACCAUUCAUUUUCCAUUUGUUAUGUCUUGUUUUCCCACACACAUUCCCUCAUUACGUGACGUGUAUAAAACCCUCUGUUCCCCCCAUGUCUGUGUGUGGAAUUGUUUGUUGUAAAGUGUAUGUGCAUUAUAGACUUGUUUGCGCCGGGUUAUAUCAACCCAUAUUCUGUUGUUCUGGGUGCCGUCGGUUUUGCCUCAUUAAACUGCUCCGGUUAUUACCCA
Molecule: long non-coding RNA, 1143 nt
Organism: Oncorhynchus kisutch (coho salmon)
Lineage: Eukaryota; Metazoa; Chordata; Actinopteri; Salmoniformes; Salmonidae
Exons: 4
Source: RefSeq, a predicted model, not a curated record